UACAGAGGGUGCAAGCGUUGUUCGGAAUUAUUGGGCGUAAAGCGCGUGUAGGCGGCUAGGUAAGUCGGGUGUGAAAGCCCUCAGCUCAACUGAGGAAGUGCGCCCGAAACUGCUUGGCUUGAGUGCCGGAGAGGAUGGCGGAAUACCCCAAGUAGAGGUGAAAUUCGUAGAUAUGGGGUGGAACACCGGUGGCGAAGGCGGCCAUCUGGACGGUAACUGACGCUGAGACGCGAAAGCGUGGGUAGCAAACAGG
Molecule: ribosomal RNA, 253 nt
Filed under: uncultured bacterium
Lineage: Bacteria
Description: partial 16S ribosomal RNA
Rfam family: Bacterial small subunit ribosomal RNA
Source: RNAcentral